UACAGUGGGGGCAAGCGUUGUUCGGAAUUACUGGGCGUAAAGGGCUCGUAGGUGGCCAACUAAGUCAGACGUGAAAUCCCUCAGCUUAACUGGGGAACUGCGUCUGAUACUGGAUGGCUUGAGUUUGGGAGAGGGAUGCGGAAUUCCAGGUGUAGCGGUGAAAUGCGUAGAUAUCUGGAGGAACACCGGUGGCGAAGGCGGCAUCCUGGACCAACACUGACACUGAGGAGCGAAAGCCAGGGGAGCAAACGGG
This 253-nucleotide ribosomal RNA is filed under the name uncultured bacterium. Its description in RNAcentral is "partial 16S ribosomal RNA". It matches the Rfam family "Bacterial small subunit ribosomal RNA", at positions 524 to 776 of the family's 1533-position model. The record is from RNAcentral.